RNAcentral lists this ribosomal RNA (253 nucleotides) under uncultured bacterium. RNAcentral's name for it is "partial 16S ribosomal RNA". It matches the Rfam family "Bacterial small subunit ribosomal RNA", at positions 524 to 776 of the family's 1533-position model. The record is from RNAcentral.
UACGUAGGCAGCAAGCGUUGUUCGGAGUUACUGGGCGUAAAGCGUGCGCAGGCGGUUUUGUAAGCCAGAUGUGAAAUCCCCGGGCUCAACCUGGGAAUGGCAUUUGGGACUGCAAGGCUCGAGUGCGGCAGAGGAGACUGGAAUUCCUGGUGUAGCAGUGAAAUGCGUAGAUAUCAGGAGGAAUACCGAUGGCGAAGGCAGGUCUCUGGGCUGACACUGACGCUCAUGCACGAAAGCGUGGGGAGCAAACAGG